UAGCAACUGAAUAACUGCUGAAUUUUGUCAA
RNAcentral lists this non-coding RNA (31 nucleotides) under Mus musculus (house mouse). Lineage: Eukaryota; Metazoa; Chordata; Mammalia; Rodentia; Muridae. The record is from RNAcentral.